RNAcentral lists this ribosomal RNA (441 nucleotides) under uncultured bacterium. RNAcentral's name for it is "SSU rRNA". It matches the Rfam family "Bacterial small subunit ribosomal RNA", at positions 26 to 518 of the family's 1533-position model. The record is from RNAcentral.
AGAGCGAACGCUGGCGGCAGGCCUAACACAUGCAAGUCGAGCGCCGUAGCAAUACGGAGCGGCAGACGGGAGAGUAACACGUGGGAACGUACCUUUCAGUUCGGAACAACCCAGGGAAACUUGGGCUAAUACCGGAUACGCCCUUACGGGGAAAGAUUUAUCGCUGAAAGAUCGGCCCGCGUCUGAUUAGCUAGUUGGUGGGGUAACGGCCCACCAAGGCUACGAUCAGUAGCUGGUCUGAGAGGAUGAUCAGCCUCACUGGGACUGAGACACGGCCCAGACUCCUACGGGAGGCAGCAGUGGGGAAUAUUGGACAAUGGGCGCAAGCCUGAUCCAGCCAUGCCGCGUGGAUGAUGAAGGCCCUAGGGUUGUAAAGUCCUUCGGCGGGAAGAUAAUGACGGUACCGCAGAAGAGCCCGGCUAACUUCGCGCCAGCAGCCGC